RNA transcript from Zea mays, 3677 nucleotides. RefSeq lists it as uncharacterized. The transcript is spliced from 10 exons. The record is from RefSeq and is marked validated. Lineage: Eukaryota; Viridiplantae; Streptophyta; Magnoliopsida; Poales; Poaceae.
UACAUUUCAGUCAUAAUUAAAGAACAUCCCAACAACAUCAAGAUACACUUCAGUGAUUUUUUUAACAUUUGCCAUGACUAGCAGGCUUGUCUAGGCGAUGACGAGCACUGACCUUUGCCUGUUCGACGACAGCACUAGCAAGGCUCGCAAGUUGUGCCUACCGAAGAACACGACAGCAUCGGAGGGCAGGCCAGCGGGGGACUGAUUGUGGGAGGCGCAGCAAGCCGGUGGAGGAGUCUGACGGCGCUGAUGGAGGCCAGCACGCUGGAGGGCAGACUCGUGGGGGACCGACGACUGGAGGCAUGCGGGGGAUUAACGUCGUAGGGUAGGUCGGCGGGGUCCCCCUGUAGUGGCGACACGCCCCUGUGCUAGUCUAGAGUGGAUAAGACAUGUGUGACAAGAGGGUGGAAAGUAAGUGAGUCGAAAUGGUUCUCUUGUUUUUGAGGAAUCCUUAGAACCCAUGUUUUUAAGAAGUAUUUCGAUCUGGAUCCAACCUAACCCACGAGCAUUUUGAACCAAACAUGAAUUGUUAUGAAUUGAACCCGUUCCAACCUACAUCAACCCGCUAAACAAAUACACCCUUAGGACCGAGAGGCGCGUGCACAUGACACAUGUGUGGGCCGUGCGCGGCGCCCACUGAGGCCAUGUUCGUUUGAUCCAAAAACCGUAUGAAUCGAGGGGGAUUGUUAGGGAUUAGAGAAGAUUUUGAUUUGUAGGGGACUUAAUCCCUCUCAAUUUCUAUGGAUCGGCACAAAACAAACAUGGUCUAACAUGGGAAAAGGGUAACUGACUAACGGUAGCCAGCGGCACGCCCAAUCACAUGUGCCCCAUGUGCGGUGCCAAUCCUUCUUCCUCGUUCCUUCCCCUGGCCAGGCUUGGUGGAGUGAGGGGGGCGAUGCGAGGCGGAACCGCUCCAAACGUGCGCGGAGCCUGGCCAUCGCGGCCGUCCAUCCUCCCACACGUGUCGCUCCCACGCGACCACCGUGCGUCCGUGCCAACAAUAUCACUCGCCCAGUACCAGGUUCAGCAGCAGCACGCCGCCGCACGCCUCGCACGCGCGAGCGGCCCUACUGCUCCUACUCCUCCCACCCGUUCCCCUCUUCCGCAUCUGCACCCGCGGCACGAGAUCGAGAUCCCGGCAGACCGGUGGGAUGCAGCAGGCGGGGCUGGCCGAUGACGACGACGAGGAGAUAUGGGUAAAGGAGGAGGAUGACGAGGAGGAGGAGGACGGGUACUAUAUGGACCCCCGGAGCCCGGCCGUGUGGACGCCCGGCGGCAGGGCGGGAGGGACCUCAAACCGGCGGCGCGCGCGCGAGGAGAAGGAGCGGACCAAGAUGCGGGAGCGGCAGCGGCGCGCGAUCACGGGGCGGAUCCUGGCGGGCCUGCGCCAGCACGGCAACUACAGGCUGCGGGCGCGCGCCGACAUCAACGAGGUGAUCGCCGCGCUCGCAAGGGAGGCCGGCUGGGUUGUCCUCCCCGACGGCACCACUUUCCCCUCUUCAUCCUCCUUCGCCGCCGUGGCUGCACAGCCGCCCCGCCCCGUGAUGGUCGCCGCCGCGUCGCCCUCCGCCACCCCGCUCGCGCUCCCGGCCUCCUCGGCGCUCCCCCUCCGCGGCAUCGCGCCCGUCGCCGCGCGCCCUAUCUCCCACCGCCCCGCGCCCGCGUUCGCUCUCCUGUUGCCCCCGCGGGCCGCCGCGGCCUCGCGAUCCCCGGCCGACGACGUUCCCGACGGGAAUUCCUCGCACCUCCUCGCCGUCCCCGUCCCUGUCCCCAUGGACCCCGCCGCCGCUGAAGACGUCCCCGUUGCCAAGCAGCUGCAGGUGCCCGAUGUGUCGCCGCGCCCGCCUGAGCGGGACUUCGCCGGCACGCCCUACGUGCCGGUCUACGUCAUGCUCCCUCUUGGGGUAGUGAAUGGUAACGGUGAGGUGGUGGACGCUGACGAGUUGGUCGGGCAGCUGCGGGUGCUCAAGGCAUCUGGAGUGGAUGGUGUCAUGGUCGAUUGCUGGUGGGGGAACGUUGAGGCUCACAAGCCGCAGGAGUACAACUGGACUGGCUACAGGCGCCUCUUCCAGAUGAUCAGGGAACUCAAGCUCAAGUUGCAGGUCGUUAUGUCAUUUCAUGAAUGUGGUGGCAAUGUUGGAGACGAUAUAUCCAUUCCCCUCCCACAUUGGGUAAUAGAGAUUGGAAGGAGCAAUCCAGAUAUCUACUUUACUGACAGGGCAGGAAGACGUAAUACAGAGUGCUUAUCAUGGGGAGUUGAUAAAGAAAGGGUUUUGCAAGGCAGAACAGCAGUGGAGGUAUAUUUUGAUUUCAUGAGAAGCUUCCGAGUAGAAUUCGAUGAGUAUUUUGAGGAUGGGAUCAUCUCAGAAAUUGAGAUUGGACUAGGGGCUUGUGGAGAGCUGCGAUAUCCAUCUUAUCCAGCAAAACAUGGCUGGAAAUACCCUGGCAUUGGAGAAUUUCAGUGCUAUGACAGGUACUUACAGAAAAGUUUGAGAAAGGCUGCAGAAGCACGAGGGCAUACCAUAUGGGCAAGAGGACCUGACAAUGCUGGCCAUUAUAAUUCUGAACCAAAUCUCACUGGAUUUUUUUGUGAUGGAGGAGAUUAUGAUAGCUACUAUGGCCGUUUUUUCCUCAGCUGGUACUCCCAGGCAUUGGUGGAUCACGCGGACCGUGUACUGAUGUUAGCAAGGCUGGCUUUUGAGGGUACAAACAUUGCUGUUAAGGUCUCCGGGGUGCACUGGUGGUAUAAAACUGCCAGUCAUGCUGCUGAAUUGACUGCCGGAUUUUACAACCCGUGUAACCGUGAUGGCUAUGCUCCAAUUGCUGCAGUAUUAAAGAAAUACGAUGCUGCUUUGAACUUUACAUGUGUUGAAUUGCGCACCAUGGACCAGCAUGAGGUAUACCCUGAGGCAUUUGCAGAUCCAGAGGGCCUAGUAUGGCAGGUGCUAAAUGCUGCGUGGGAUGCUGGUAUACAAGUGGCUAGUGAGAACGCUCUACCUUGCUAUGAUAGGGAUGGAUUCAACAAGAUUUUGGAGAAUGCCAAACCUCUGAAUGACCCAGACGGACGGCAUUUGUUAGGUUUCACCUACCUAAGGCUUGGCAAAGAUCUGUUUGAGAGACCCAACUUUUUUGAAUUUGAGCGCUUCAUCAAGAGAAUGCAUGGUAAGAUGUACUGGCAACUGGAGUAGUCUGACGGCUAGCGCCCGUUAAUUCCAUGUUGACCUUUCUCGUGCUACAUGUUUGCAGGCGGUAAUAUCAGCUGAUUUUUGAGCUGUUAAAUAGAGAACUCGCUGCUCAAUUUUUAACUCUAGUCUUCAAGAAGGAAGACGAGUUGAGUUCCGUAUAAUCGGUGAAUUCACAUCCUUUUGUCGCCGGCGGCUCCACAUGUGCCAUCAUCUCAUGGCCAUGGCGCAAUGUUAUGCAGAUGUAGUGUGAAAUCCGAAGAACCUAGGCAUUCUGCUCAUCUCCAUCUCCAUAUCAGCGUCAAAUGCUCAAAUUUUUUAGUUCAAGUGACUGCUGAUACGCAUGGAACAAAACGGGAAUAAGUGUCUCGAUCCUACUGUCUUGCGUGUAAUGAUGUUCAACAAUGCAGAUUGUGAGUUUGGAUCUGUUGAGCACAGAAAAGGUGUUGAGCACAGAAAAGGUCCUCGCGGACCCUGCUGAUUUUUUUGUUUUUA